UGUUAAAAUCUUAAUUUUUGUUUUAUUUGUUGUUAAAUUUAUUAGAAAUAACUUUAAUUUUAGUAUUUUUUAAAGAAUUAAUAUUUUAUAUUUAUAGUUUAAUUUACUGUGAAGGUAAGAUUAUAUUAGUUUAUAAGUAGAAUUAACUUUUUGUACCUUUUGUAUCAGGGUUUAUUAAUUUUAUUUAUUUAUUGAUAAUGAUCCCGAAAUUAAAGGAGUUAUAUUUAAUUGUUAUUUAAUGUUUCAUAAUUAUUGAGAAAUUAAAUAUAGAUGUUAUAUGCUAUUCAUCUUUAAUAUAUCUGGUUCUUUAAUAAUUGAAUUUAAUUCAGGGUUUUAGUUGUUAAUUAUUAAUUUUAUUUUAGUUAACAUUAUGACUUAAAAUUAUUGGGGAUAAGCUCAUUAAUUGUUCUAUAAUUUAUAUAAUAUUAAAAUUUAUUUUGUAGGAUUAGAAAUUUUCAUCUAUUAUAUUUUGUUAUAAUUAUAUAUUUUUUAUAAUUAAUUUAUUAUAAAUUUAGGUCUUUAUUAAGGAUAAUUAUUUAAUAAUAAAUUAUUAGAUAUAAUGAUAAAAUUAGUAGAUUAAUUGUUUUUAAUAUAUAGUAAUUCGGCAAAUUUAUCCUUCACCUGUUUAACAAAAACAUGUCUUGAUGUAAUUUAAUAUUAAGUCUGGCCUGCUCAAUGAUUUUAAUUUAAUAGCCGCAGUAUAUUAACUGUGCAAAGGUAGCAUAAUCAUUUGUCUUUUAAUUGAAGGCUUGUAUGAAUGGUCGGAUGAAGGGAUUACUUUCUUUAUAUUAAAUGUUGAAUUUAAUUUUUGAGUUAAAAAGCUUAAAUUUUUAAGGGGGACGAGAAGACCCUAUAGAAUUUUAUUUUAAAUUGGUUAUUAAGGAGUUUGGAUAUUUAUCUAUUUAAUGAUCAAUUAAAAUUUUGUUGGGGUGACAAUGAGACUAAUUUAACUCUCAUAUUUUAAAUGUUUAAUGAUUUUUAUGUUAAAGAUCCUUCUUUGAGGAUAAUUAGAUUAAAUUACCUUAGGGAUAACAGCGUUAUUUUUUCGGAGAGUUCUUAUUGAUGAAAAAGUUUGCGACCUCGAUGUUGGAUUAAAAUAAGAUUUAAGUGCAGAAGCUUAAUUUCUAGGUCUGUUCGACCUUUAAAUUUUUACAUGAUCUGAGUUCAGACCGGCGUGAGCCAGGUCGGUUUCUAUCUUCUUAUAUUUAGGAUGUGGAUUAGUACGAAAGGACCAUUUACAUUAAAUAAUUUAUUUAAAGUUGAAUUCUUUUA
This 1272-nucleotide ribosomal RNA is filed under the name Aelia fieberi. RNAcentral describes it as "16S ribosomal RNA". The stretch from base 834 to 1200 matches the Rfam family "Archaeal large subunit ribosomal RNA", at positions 2151 to 2715 of the family's 2987-position model. Lineage: Eukaryota; Metazoa; Arthropoda; Insecta; Hemiptera; Pentatomidae. The record is from RNAcentral.